CACAAGAACAUAAGAAGGGCGUUGGAAUAGAAAAGAAGUAAUCUCUUUGUUUUCAUGGCACUCACCAAGAGCACUACAACACGAUCGACGAUUGUGUGCUCAAUGGUUGUUGCUUUCGUGGUGCUUGCUAUUAUAUGUUCUACCAUGCCAUCCUGCCAUGCCCACACUGGGUUGAAGGUCAAGGUCGGCGACCUGUAUGUCCACAAGCUGUCCCAUGGCUGUUCGCUGUGGGAUGUUGAUCGAGAGGUGAGGCCUCUUUGCCUGUUGAUCAGGUGCAGGGCCUCCCGGUUAUUCCUACUUUCUUGCAGUCAAAGGAUGGGGUUCAAUGAAACCAGAGCAAACUAAGGUGUAUAGUUAUUUCCCGUAAAAAAAAGGUGUAUGGUUAUUUUAAUUCCCUGUUCUUUCUUUUAGAAAAACACUUUUACUUCGGUACAACCCCCUGAACACAUUAACGGAGGACAUCUUUCCAUACCCCUUUAUAAUAAAGGGUAGAAUGGUCUUUACGCAUC
Molecule: long non-coding RNA, 509 nt
Organism: Triticum dicoccoides
Lineage: Eukaryota; Viridiplantae; Streptophyta; Magnoliopsida; Poales; Poaceae
Exons: 2
Source: RefSeq, a predicted model, not a curated record